This 1598-nucleotide non-coding RNA is filed under the name Sporisorium scitamineum. The record is from RNAcentral. Lineage: Eukaryota; Fungi; Basidiomycota; Ustilaginomycetes; Ustilaginales; Ustilaginaceae.
CGCCGAUGACAGAUUGACCCCCUCUCCAGACUUGCUUCUCCCUCCAUCUACCAGCGCUGUUUAACAGUGCUUCAGACGAUGUGAAAAGAAAGGCAUUAGGCCAGGCAAAUCCUGACCAAACAGAAACAUCCGCACAACACCAAAACGCAGCAUUCAACCCAUUUUCGAUCUUGCGCCCGCCUCUUGGCUCUCAACCGCUCCUGUUUCCAAGCCUCUGCGUCUUUUUCGGACCUUGACUAGCUCCCUUGGGAGCAUGUCGGUCAAAGAUCAGAAGGCUGAACAAGCGUUGACGCGAAAAGGUAGCCUUCGAAAGGGCUUUAAAGCGGUACAAGACGAUCCUAACCCUAAGUUGUUUUAUGCAGAGUCUUACAAGGCGUUUCUCGCGAAGGCGCUGUGCCUUUGAUUCUUAUCGAGGUUUCGAGGCUGGUACUUUCCUUGACGAUGGCGGUAGGUCGAUUCCUUCGGCCGGGGAGGAAGAGACGAGAGGAUGGGGCAGAGGCUGUAAAACGCUGGAUACUCCUCCGAUUGCCUCUUUUCUUCAAGAGCUAAGGGGGUGAUGAGGUUUGACAGUCUUGCUCCGUCCCUCUUGUUGGUUUUGCCCAUGUUGGAGAAAUGAUCGCUGCCCUUGAAGAGGAAAGACCGCCAAGUCUCGGGUCACGAUGCGGAAAGGGAGCAAAGCGGCAUCUUCGAGAGAAAGCGUCUUUGGCGUGUGUAAAAGGUCCCUUUCGAGGGGAGGUCGCGGCCCCACACGUAUGGGAACUCCGCCACCUCAAUUCCUUUACACUAUACGCCCUCUGCCUACGUCGAUUACCCCUCAACUGGUGCAAGCAUUCCUUCUUUGUAGGUUUGCGAUUUGACCCAGGUCGAUGAACCCACUCUCACUUUAUGCAACGCAUAAAGAGCGCAAUGGAGUGCGCACCGGCUCUUUGUUCUGUCCUUCUUAUCGCCGAUUCAAGUAAGAAUGAAGGACGAAUGCCCGUUUGUUCGUUGUGGCGAGGGUUUUUUUUUUUUUUCAGGGUUCUGCUGCCGACAGCUAUCUUGGUCGUGUUUGGAAGAGGAGAAGCGGGUUUCAGGAGGUGGUGGUAUUUCUCGAGGCGAAGUUAAAGACCUGACUCGGAUGCGUGCAAGGUUUGAUUCUUUCCCAUCCAUUCUUCCUCUACCACUGUUUCGAUGGCAUCGAAGCGUCGAUUCGGCUUUACGUAAGGCACAGCAGGAUGUUCAAACGCAUCUUCUUCGGGGACCAAACACAGCUCUACGGAGGGUACAGGGGUUUUCAAACAUCCGUCUCGCCUUCUUUGAAUCUCUUUUGGCAAGCUUUUCGACGUGGCUGACGUUCGACUUUGCUUGAUCCACCCUUUCCAGUAGAGGUCGCGAGGAGAUCGUUGCUCGAUGGGAGAAAAACUGGAAGAAGAGACGCCAAAGGAGGGGUUGCAGGGUGUAUGAGGACUCCGAGUGUUGAUAGAGCUUCGUGCUCGCCUGGUUUCCAGAGGGUUCGCGUUGGAACGUUCUGCACGCUGCUUGAACGUAAGCUACAGAACGCUAGAGGAAGAGGAACAGGAUGCGGAAGAAGUGUUGUAAUUUUUCUUACCCUUUUGGGG